AGGAGGGCGUGUCAUCUCGCAAU
RNAcentral lists this ribosomal RNA (23 nucleotides) under Fritillaria karelinii. Its description in RNAcentral is "partial 28S ribosomal RNA". Lineage: Eukaryota; Viridiplantae; Streptophyta; Magnoliopsida; Liliales; Liliaceae. The record is from RNAcentral.